GUAGGUGAACCUGCGGAAGGAUCAUUACCAUGGAGGCUUCGGCCGACAUAGAGGUAGGACCCUUUGUUUAUGAGUACCCUUUGUUUCCUCGGCGGGCUCGCCUGCCACGAGGACAACCAAAAACCUUUGCAGUAGCAGUACCUUCAGUCAAAAAUAAAUAUUAAAACUUUCAACAACGGAUCUCUUGGUUCUGGCAUCGAUGAAGAACGCAGCAUCUGACUGACUUGGGAUGCAUGCAUCUCGUAUGCCG
This 250-nucleotide unclassified non-coding RNA is filed under the name plant metagenome. RNAcentral's name for it is "partial contains small subunit ribosomal RNA, internal transcribed spacer 1, and 5.8S ribosomal RNA". The record is from RNAcentral.